GGCCUAUGUGCUAGGAUGAGGAGCCAAUGGGGCGAAGCUACCAUCUGUGGGCUUAUGAAUGAACGCCUCUAAGUCAGAAUCCCCCCUAGAUGUGAUGAUACCAUAGUGCCCGGGCUAUACGAUUGUUCAAGGAUAACCGACCCCUCUGGGGGCCGGCGCAGAA
Gadus morhua (Atlantic cod) is the source of this 163-nucleotide long non-coding RNA. RefSeq lists it as uncharacterized. The transcript has 3 exons. NCBI's taxonomy places the organism in Eukaryota, Metazoa, Chordata, Actinopteri, Gadiformes, Gadidae. The record is from RefSeq and is a predicted model, not a curated record.